RNAcentral lists this ribosomal RNA (319 nucleotides) under Apiospora arundinis. RNAcentral's name for it is "eukaryotic LSU rRNA". It matches the Rfam family "Eukaryotic large subunit ribosomal RNA", at positions 331 to 670 of the family's 3401-position model. The record is from RNAcentral. Lineage: Eukaryota; Fungi; Ascomycota; Sordariomycetes; Amphisphaeriales; Apiosporaceae.
AGACCGAUAGCGAACAAGUAGAGUGAUCGAAAGAUGAAAAGCACUUUGAAAAGAGGGUUAAAUAGCACGUGAAAUUGUUGAAAGGGAAGGAUUUAUGACCAGACUUUUUCUAGGGGGAUCAUCCGGUGUUCUCACCGGUGCACUUCCCCUAGUUGAGGCCAGCAUCGGUUUCUGCCGGGGGAUAAAAGCUUCGGGAAUGUGGCUCUUUCGGGAGUGUUAUAGCCCGUUGCAUAAUACCCUGGCGGGGACCGAGGUUCGCGCAUCUGCAAGGAUGCUGGCGUAAUGGUUAUUAAUCACCCGUCUUGAAACACGGACCAAG